AUAUCAAUAAGCGGAGGAAAAGAAACUAACAAGGAUUCCCCUAGUAACGGCGAGUGAAGCGGGAAGAGCUCAAAUUUGAAAUCUGGCACUUUCAGUGUCCGAGUUGUAAUCUCGAGAAGUAUUUUCCGCGCCGGACCGCACACAAGUCUGUUGGAACACAGCGUCAUAGUGGUGAGAACCCCGUAUAUGGUGCGGAUGCCCGGUGCUUUGUGAUAUACUUUCGAAGAGUCGAGUUGUUUGGGAAUGCAGCUCAAAUUGGGUGGUAAAUUCCAUCUAAAGCUAAAUAUUGGCGAGAGACCGAUAGCGAACAAGUACCGUGAGGGAAAGAUGAAAAGCACUUUGGAAAGAGAGUUAACAGUACGUGAAAUUGUUGGAAGGGAAACGCUUGAAGUCAGACUUGCAUUUCGGAGUUCAGCCGCAAGGUGUAUUCUUCGAUUCGCAGGCCAGCAUCAGUUUUCGGGGGUGAAAAAGCGCGGUUUGAAGGUAGCAGUUUCGGCUGUGUUAUAGCUUUCCGCUGGAUUCACUUUUGGGGACUGAGGAACGCAGCACGCUUUUUGCAAGAUUCGCGAGUCUUUCGUGCUUAGGAUGCUGGUGGAAUGGCUUUAAACGACCCGUCUUGA
RNAcentral lists this ribosomal RNA (620 nucleotides) under Microbotryozyma collariae. RNAcentral describes it as "eukaryotic LSU rRNA". It matches the Rfam family "Eukaryotic large subunit ribosomal RNA", at positions 40 to 657 of the family's 3401-position model. Lineage: Eukaryota; Fungi; Basidiomycota; Microbotryomycetes; Microbotryales; Ustilentylomataceae. The record is from RNAcentral.